This is a long non-coding RNA of Phyllopteryx taeniolatus (common seadragon), 1603 nucleotides long. RefSeq lists it as uncharacterized. Lineage: Eukaryota; Metazoa; Chordata; Actinopteri; Syngnathiformes; Syngnathidae. The record is from RefSeq and is a predicted model, not a curated record. The transcript has 8 exons.
AGGUACUGCAACAGACUUCGGUCUGAUGACAGAUGACCGAUAGUGAUGGAUUCCAAAUCCCUGGUGUUCGUCAGUCUUGUGUACUUCCUGAAGAUGCGAUCUCAUCUGCUGCUUAUCAUCAGAUACCUGCUUUGGAGAGGUCUGACAGGUGCACCUUUGCUCCCUCCUUGGUCAUCACUGGAGUCCCUCCAUCAACAGUUGGAAUGAUGAAAACACCCGAUUGGCUGUCGUGAUUGGGUAACUGAGUAGAAACAACUUGCUGGAAGGUAGAACCUCUGUGCAAUGCUGGGAAAUGGACAGUUAUGAACAGUGAUUACCUUGGCGAGUGAGCACCGGUCUCGUUGACACAGAAGAAUUUCUUGUGGUAUCAGUAAUCCCUGAGUUGGAAUGCGUCUCCAGAGAGCCCGCCUCAUCUUUGGAGUUAAGAUCAUCUUCUGGAUGUGCUGUGUCUGACGACUGAAGGACACGUACAUAAAAAAUGGAUUUAACCCACAAAACGGAGCACCAGGACCUUCUUUCCUUAGAUGGAAAUGACGCCACCAUGAGCACUCACCAGAAGAAUGGAUGUGGUCGCUCAGGACACAUGCAGUCCAAGAGCAUCCGAUUUUCGAGACUCUGGCGUCCAUUGACUUAAGUAAUGAAAGAGGUCACUGAGAACCCUGAUGAUGCCCAGACCAGCGGCUGUUGUUUUGACCACACCGAUCAAUAGCAGCUCUCCAGAAGGAGGGUGCCGAAGACGUAUCACAUGGCUUCGCAUGAAACGGAAGAUUCCUCAUUGGAAAAGAAAAUGGCGGGGCGGCGUGCAGGGAUGAUAUCAUGGUCAUCCUGAUUGCUUCUCAUCCUCAACGCAAGAUAAAGAGCCUCCCAUUCAAAAAGAUAUACAGAGUGAGGAGAAGGAGGUGCUGCGUGGGAGUUGCUCUGCUUCUCUGAAGAAUUUAUAAGCCCCUCCACCCAUUUUAUUGCUCGAGGCUUGGAGUCUUCAGAGAUGGAGUCUCAAUUACUGUUUUUCAGAUGUUUACAGCCCCCCCCCCCCUUAAGGAGUGACAGGAGUGAGAUGACAUCACUCCAGCUUUUCCCCUUGCCGGUGUGUGUGUGAAGUAAUCAGCAACGACAGGCACAGAGCGACAGAGACAUGGAGCUCACCAUCACAACCGCACUCAAAAAAAAAAAAAAAAAAAAAAAAAAGCAUAUCGAAUGCAGCACCAUAAGCCUGAGAGUGCGGCCCAGAUGCAUUGUGAUCAAAGCCCGGCACACUCCGCAUGCACAUCAAUGGCACGCCAAGAAUGAUGAAUGGCUCGUCCUUGCUGCGGUCGAGUAAAUAAAUGGGCCUGGCCGCUGCAGGUUCACGGCAUUGUUGGCUGACUGUAUUGCUGCCAUGGCAACAAGCGCCUUAAAGAGCCGUCGCCCUGGAGACGUUGACCUCGCCGGCGUGAUGGAUGAGGACUGGAGGUAUCUCCUUACCCAGUGUCCUGGUUCUGAAGUCCGUCAGCCACAGCCACCUGCCUCCCUCCGUUAUCAACGCUCAUUUUAGUCUUCUUCGUCUUCUUCUUCUUCUGGCUGCUCCUCAACCAGCUGAUGGCCUGUCCCAGGGAGCUUCCCGGCU